CGAACGAACUCUGGUAUUGAUUGGUGCUUGCAUCAUGAUUUACAUUUGAGUGAGUGGCGAACUGGUGAGUAACACGUGGGAAACCUGCCCAGAAGCGGGGGAUAACACCUGGAAACAGAUGCUAAUACCGCAUAACAACUUGGACCGCAUGGUCCGAGUUUGAAAGAUGGCUUCGGCUAUCACUUUUGGAUGGUCCCGCGGCGUAUUAGCUAGAUGGUGGGGUAACGGCUCACCAUGGCAAUGAUACGUAGCCGACCUGAGAGGGUAAUCGGCCACAUUGGGACUGAGACACGGCCCAAACUCCUACGGGAGGCAGCAGUAGGGAAUCUUCCACAAUGGACGAAAGUCUGAUGGAGCAACGCCGCGUGAGUGAAGAAGGGUUUCGGCUCGUAAAACUCUGUUGUUAAAGAAGAACAUAUCUGAGAGUAACUGUUCAGGUAUUGACGGUAUUUAACCAGAAAGCCACGGCUAACUACGUGCCAGCAGCCGCGGUAAUACGUAGGUGGCAAGCGUUGUCCGGAUUUAUUGGGCGUAAAGCGAGCGCAGGCGGUUUUUUAAGUCUGAUGUGAAAGCCUUCGGCUCAACCGAAGAAGUGCAUCGGAAACUGGGAAACUUGAGUGCAGAAGAGGACAGUGGAACUCCAUGUGUAGCGGUGAAAUGCGUAGAUAUAUGGAAGAACACCAGUGGCGAAGGCGGCUGUCUGGUCUGUAACUGACGCUGAGGCUCGAAAGUAUGGGUAGCAAACAGGAUUAGAUACCCUGGUAGUCCAUACCGUAAACGAUGAAUGCUAAGUGUUGGAGGGUUUCCGCCCUUCAGUGCUGCAGCUAACGCAUUAAGCAUUCCGCCUGGGGAGUACGGCCGCAAGGCUGAAACUCAAAGGAAUUGACGGGGGCCCGCACAAGCGGUGGAGCAUGUGGUUUAAUUCGAAGCUACGCGAAGAACCUUACCAGGUCUUGACAUACUAUGCAAAUCUAAGAGAUUAGACGUUCCCUUCGGGGACAUGGAUACAGGUGGUGCAUGGUUGUCGUCAGCUCGUGUCGUGAGAUGUUGGGUUAAGUCCCGCAACGAGCGCAACCCUUAUUAUCAGUUGCCAGCAUUAAGUUGGGCACUCUGGUGAGACUGCCGGUGACAAACCGGAGGAAGGUGGGGAUGACGUCAAAUCAUCAUGCCCCUUAUGACCUGGGCUACACACGUGCUACAAUGGAUGGUACAACGAGUUGCGAACUCGCGAGAGUAAGCUAAUCUCUUAAAGCCAUUCUCAGUUCGGAUUGUAGGCUGCAACUCGCCUACAUGAAGUCGGAAUCGCUAGUAAUCGCGGAUCAGCAUGCCGCGGUGAAUACGUUCCCGGGCCUUGUACACACCGCCCGUCACACCAUGAGAGUUUGUAACACCCAAAGUCGGUGG
RNAcentral lists this ribosomal RNA (1404 nucleotides) under Lactiplantibacillus pentosus. Its description in RNAcentral is "bacterial SSU rRNA". It matches the Rfam family "Bacterial small subunit ribosomal RNA", at positions 63 to 1433 of the family's 1533-position model. The record is from RNAcentral. Lineage: Bacteria; Bacillati; Bacillota; Bacilli; Lactobacillales; Lactobacillaceae. RNAcentral also lists the same sequence under 2 other names.